RNAcentral lists this long non-coding RNA (946 nucleotides) under Homo sapiens (human). RNAcentral describes it as "non-protein coding lnc-ZGRF1-2:1". The record is from RNAcentral. Lineage: Eukaryota; Metazoa; Chordata; Mammalia; Primates; Hominidae.
GUUUGUGUCUCUAUAGACGUGGAGAGAACAGGAACACAUGUUUUCUGUACUACAUGGCUAAUGCAGGAUACAGGGCUGCAGUUGUUGGGUGAAGCUUUGCCCGAAAGUUGAGAAAUGGUGAGUAACCUCUAGAUGAGGUUCCUGCUCUCCUAUGGGUGGAAGUAAAUGCUUCCAGCAAUCCUUCUCAAGGGUGCAGCGCAAGGAUGCAGAACAGGAGUCGCAGACCAAAGCAGAGAUCCAGGAUAUGAAGCAAGAGUUAUCCGCGGUCAAUAUGAUGGACAAGUUUGCCAGAUCUGCCAGGCUGGAAAGAAAGAUCAACAAGAUGAUGAAUAAGCUCAAAACUCAUGUGAAAGUACAGACAGCUCAAUCAGGAAUGCUAAAAUGGGUUAUAAGUGUUGCUUUCUACAAAUUGCCAGGUACCGUGAUCAGGCUAUAAGGCAGUCUUGUGGGGUUAUCCAUUACUUGACAGGGUCUCGCUCUGUUGCCCAGGCUGGAGUGCAGUGGGCCAUCUAGGCUCACUGUAGCCUCUGCCACCCGGGUUCAAGUGACCUUCCCACUUCAGCCUCACAAGUAGCUGGCACUAAAAGUGCUUGCCACCAUACCCGGAUAAUUUUCAUAUUUUUUGUAAAGACAGGGUCUCACCAUGUUGCCCAGACUGGUCGCGUUUUCUUCCUCUGUUUAAAAUGGCAUUUGUUGGACAAGCAUUUGUAUAGUACUAUGUACUUACUUGAAGCUGUUAAUUUUUCAUUACAAUGUUUUGUAAAUUUCUUCAUGAGGCCAUAAUGCAUUGUUUUGUGCUCAAAUUUUGCAUUGUAUUUAAAGCAUUCAAGUGAAAUAUAUUUUAUAUAACAUUUAAUAUUUAUGCUCUGUUGAAUGGAAAGAGGUAAAAAACAAAUUUAGGAAGCCUGGUUAAAUUAAACUGAACUGAAACCUGUUUGGCCCAUAA